CGUAUUUUAUUGGUUUCCCGCGCUUUGCAUGUAACACUGCCCCCAACAGCCAAUACUAGGAGUUGGGCCUUAGUGUUAAUAACGAGCGGACGGAUCUAUUUCUUCAGUUACUAGUGCUCCUGUAUUGCUACCUAAACACUUUCUGUGAGUACCUUUUUCAUUUUUUCCCCUUAAUACCCUCUCCUUUGGGGUUAAAUCAACCCUCCUACUUUAGGUAAUUAUUCUGACCAUAAUUAUU
This is a non-coding RNA of Pelobates cultripes (western spadefoot toad), 238 nucleotides long. NCBI's taxonomy places the organism in Eukaryota, Metazoa, Chordata, Amphibia, Anura, Pelobatidae. The record is from the annotation of a GenBank genome assembly.